Molecule: long non-coding RNA, 2296 nt
Organism: Misgurnus anguillicaudatus (oriental weatherfish)
Lineage: Eukaryota; Metazoa; Chordata; Actinopteri; Cypriniformes; Cobitidae
Source: RefSeq, a predicted model, not a curated record
AUACCAUGUUAAAAAAAUAUUUUCUUCCUUGGCAUGUUCACAUAAGUGUUGGCUGUUUUAUAUUAAUAGGACUAUGUGUUAUUUUUUUCGUUAAAUAUUGAAACAACUAGGGGACUUUUGUCCCGAAUAUGCAGUUUGUCAGAGGUCAUUCAGUGUAACGGGAUCAGGAAACCAUUUUGAAAUUAAAUAAACAAACAAUAGUCAUCAAGCAGUCUGUGACAUCAUCAAAAGGCCCCCUGAAGACCAUGUGGUGAUUCAGCAAGAUGCCCACAAACAAAGAGAAAGUUUCUAGGCACUGGCAGAAAGUUAAUGCAGACCCAGUAGCUAGGGCAAUGCAUUUAGCAAGGAGACGAGAAAGCAACCAGAGAAGAAAGCAAGCUGCCUUGGCUGCAAAUCCUGAUCACCUGUCAAUCAGGAAUUUAUCAGAUGCUGCAGCUGAGAAGAGGCGAAAGCAAUGGCGGGAAAAUCAAAGAAAACACAGGGCAGAAGCUAAACGUAUAAGGGCAGAUCUGGAUCUUAUUAUACAGUAUUACCACCUGUUCAGUUAAUUUUUACGAAUAUGAUAUGCAUUAUGGAAUAAAAAUGAUUAUUAAUUUCAGCAUCUACUUCUGUGAUUUGUUAAGGAAUAAAAUAAUACAGAAUAAUAUUCAAAACAUUGCAGUAAUGGAAACAAUGACACUAUUUUUGUCAAAAAUGUCAUUCAGUGUAACAAACCAUGGUCAUUCGGUGUAACAGAUAUAUUUAUGUAGAAAUGAAACAAUAUACUUAUUCUGAGCUGUACUUAUUAAAAUAUGUAUAAUAAUGUGUGAUCCUUCAAAAAUUUUAUUUGAUUUGAAUUGAUUUUCACUUCCUUACAAAAACUUCUUGCUGACAAAUGGGUAAAACCUAAUGGUUUAAAGGAUAUUGGCGAAGUAAAAUGCUUUAAAAUGACAAAUAGUUAGUAUUUGGUGUCUGCACUGUGAUCUAUAAAUAGAGUCUUGUAAUGUGUCAUCAAAUAAUAGUUUUUCUAAAAAUGUCUGAUAAUAUUUUUUUGCAUAAAAAUAUUGUUACACUGAAUGACAUUUUAGUUGGUGUCUUCUGUACAAUUUCAGUAAAAAUGUAUGGUAGUUAUUAUUUUUUGCUCAGAAAAACAUAUAGUUAAACAGGACAUAUACUAAUGUAUGUGAAAAAGACUAAAUUUAAAGCUCUUUUACACUUUUAUUUUUUUAUGUUUUAAACCCCCUUUUCGUCUUUGACCCAAAUACAAAUAAAAAUCACAAAUAAUUAUAGCUAGAGAUGCUCCGAUCGAUCGGCCGAUAAUGCUUGCUAUGCUUCUCAACAAAUUACAUUGAAAUGCACCCAGUUCCAAAAGCCAGGGGGUGCUCUCAUUGCAGAAACUUAAAAUGCACUGUAGAUGAAGAACAAUACAUACGCAGGUAUGACGAUAUGCAGCUCCAGGAAAUGGCCUUAAGGAUAAUAUUGCUGUUCUUCAAACCUUUCCAGGUAUUUUCAUGAUAAUAAAGAAUAUGUUUAACAAUUAUGUUUGACGAGUGUUGCUUUUUCAAAUGCAUGUUAUAAACGAUUCAAACUAACAGCGAUUUCAGAUCGAUAAGGACUUACUGAUCAAAAGCCGUAGUACAUGAAAUGGCUUUGAAUAAGAUCGGCUGUCCGAUUUAGAAUAGUGAUCGGCCACGUAUUUUUAGUGUAUAUCGGCAUUGAUCGGAGCACCCCUAAUAAUAGUACAAUUGGCUGCCUUAUCUUAGAGAGCACAUCAAUAUUUUUAAUUUGAAUACUUCUUUUUAUUUAUUGUUUGGAGCUGAAGUGUCCUAGAGAUUCGGCAAUAAGUAAAUUAUUAAACAAACUGUGGGAGGAGGCAAACACAUCCCAGUUAUUUUGUGCCACAUUCUGGCUAAAGCAGUGCCAGAUGAUCAGCACACUCUAAUUUUGCUUAUCCUUUAAGCUGUUCAAUCUGCUUAAGCCCCUCCCCUUCCCUUGUGGCCGUAUGGCUAAUAAAAAGUACAGAGCUACUGAAUUACAAUCACAGCCUCACAUCCACUGACACGGCUGACCUGCAAUUCCUUCCUCUCAGUCAAAGCCUUAGAUUAUACACCCUGGAACUGCAUUUUAAAGAGGACCAUCACAACUCAUAUGUUUCAGUACGUAAUUCAUAUGUUUCAGUACGUAAUUCACAAAAAACACAUUUUGUGUUUAUUUAUUUAUGGCUCACACCACAGGAUUAUCGGACAGAUUUUCCCCUCCUGAGAAUUCAAAAGAAAUCGGGUCAUGGACCUCGAUUGGCUCCGAAGUUCGGCCCAGA